CGGGGAUAGCCUUUCGAAAGAAAGAUUAAUACCCGAUGGUAUAAUCAGACCGCAUGGUCUUGUUAUUAAAGAAUUUCGGUUAUCGAUGGGGAUGCGUUCCAUUAGGCAGUUGGUGAGGUAACGGCUCACCAAACCUUCGAUGGAUAGGGGUUCUGAGAGGAAGGUCCCCCACAUUGGAACUGAGACACGGUCCAAACUCCUACGGGAGGCAGCAGUGAGGAAUAUUGGUCAAUGGGCGCAGGCCUGAACCAGCCAAGUAGCGUGAAGGAUGACUGCCCUAUGGGUUGUAAACUUCUUUUAUAUGGGAAUAAAGUUUUCCACGUGUGGAAUUUUGUAUGUACCAUAUGAAUAAGGAUCGGCUAACUCCGUGCCAGCAGCCGCGGUAAUACGGAGGAUCCGAGCGUUAUCCGGAUUUAUUGGGUUUAAAGGGAGCGUAGGUGGACAGUUAAGUCAGUUGUGAAAGUUUGCGGCUCAACCGUAAAAUUGCAGUUGAUACUGGCUGUCUUGAGUACAGUAGAGGUGGGCGGAAUUCGUGGUGUAGCGGUGAAAUGCUUAGAUAUCACGAAGAACUCCGAUUGCGAAGGCAGCUCACUGGACUGCAACUGACAC
This 609-nucleotide ribosomal RNA is filed under the name uncultured Bacteroidales bacterium. Its description in RNAcentral is "bacterial SSU rRNA". It matches the Rfam family "Bacterial small subunit ribosomal RNA", at positions 138 to 746 of the family's 1533-position model. The record is from RNAcentral. Lineage: Bacteria; Pseudomonadati; Bacteroidota; Bacteroidia; Bacteroidales.